UAAUACGAAGGAUGCAAGCGUUAUCCGGAUUUAUUGGGUUUAAAGGGAGCGUAGGCGGACUUAUAAGUCAGUGGUGAAAUCUCGUCGCUUAACGACGAACGUGCCAUUGAUACUGUAGGUCUUGAGUACAGAUGAUGUUGGCGGAAUGUGUCAUGUAGCGGUGAAAUGCUUAGAUAUGACACAGAACACCGAUUGCGAAGGCAGCUGACAAAACUGUAACUGACGCUGAGGCUCGAAAGCGUGGGGAUCAAACAGG
Molecule: ribosomal RNA, 256 nt
Filed under: uncultured archaeon
Lineage: Archaea
Description: partial 16S ribosomal RNA
Rfam family: Bacterial small subunit ribosomal RNA
Source: RNAcentral